AGCGGCGGACGGGUGAGUAAUGCUUAGGAAUCUGCCUAUUAGUGGGGGACAACAUCUCGAAAGGGAUGCUAAUACCGCAUACGUCCUACGGGAGAAAGCAGGGGAUCUUCGGACCUUGCGCUAAUAGAUGAGCCUAAGUCGGAUUAGCUAGUUGGUGGGGUAAAGGCCUACCAAGGCGACGAUCUGUAGCGGGUCUGAGAGGAUGAUCCGCCACACUGGGACUGAGACACGGCCCAGACUCCUACGGGAGGCAGCAGUGGGGAAUAUUGGACAAUGGGGGGAACCCUGAUCCAGCCAUGCCGCGUGUGUGAAGAAGGCCUUAUGGUUGUAAAGCACUUUAAGCGAGGAGGAGGCUACUUUAGUUAAUACCUAGAGAUAGUGGACGUUACUCGCAGAAUAAGCACCGGCUAACUCUGUGCCAGCAGCCGCGGUAAUACAGAGGGUGCGAGCGUUAAUCGGAUUUACUGGGCGUAAAGCGUGCG
Molecule: ribosomal RNA, 482 nt
Filed under: uncultured Acinetobacter sp.
Lineage: Bacteria; Pseudomonadati; Pseudomonadota; Gammaproteobacteria; Moraxellales; Moraxellaceae
Description: bacterial SSU rRNA
Rfam family: Bacterial small subunit ribosomal RNA
Source: RNAcentral